ACGGGGGGGGCAAGCGUUGUUCGGAAUUACUGGGCGUAAAGGGCUCGUAGGCGGCCAAUUAAGUCAGACGUGAAAUCCCUCGGCUCAACUGGGGAACUGCGUCUGAUACUGGAUGGCUUGAGUGUGGGAGAGGGAUGCGGAAUUCCAGGUGUAGCGGUGAAAUGCGUAGAUAUCUGGAGGAACACCGGUGGCGAAGGCGGCAUCCUGGACCACGACUGACGCUGAGGAGCGAAAGCCAGGGGAGCAAACGGGA
This 253-nucleotide ribosomal RNA is filed under the name uncultured prokaryote. RNAcentral describes it as "partial 16S ribosomal RNA". It matches the Rfam family "Bacterial small subunit ribosomal RNA", at positions 525 to 777 of the family's 1533-position model. The record is from RNAcentral.